GGUGCAAGCGUUACUCGGAAUUACUGGGCGUAAAGCGUGCGUAGGUGGUUCGUUAAGUCUGAUGUGAAAGCCCUGGGCUCAACCUGGGAAUGGCAUUGGAAACUGGCGACCUAGAGUGCGGUAGAGGGUAGUGGAAUUCCCGGUGUAGCAGUGAAAUGCGCAGAUAUCAGGAAGAACACCCGUGGCGAAGGCGGCUCUCUGGUACGUGACUGACGCUGAGACGCGAAAGCGUGGGGAGCGAACAGG
This 246-nucleotide ribosomal RNA is filed under the name uncultured bacterium. RNAcentral describes it as "partial 16S ribosomal RNA". It matches the Rfam family "Bacterial small subunit ribosomal RNA", at positions 531 to 776 of the family's 1533-position model. The record is from RNAcentral.